GACAUUUUGACAUUUUGACAUUUUGACAUUUUGACAUUUUGACAUUUUAACAUUUUGACAUUUUGACAUUUUGACAUUUUGACAUUUUGACAUUUUGAUAUUUUGACAUUUUGACAUUUUGACAUUUUGACAUUUUGACAUUUUGACAUUUUGACAUUUUGACAUUUUGACAUUUUGACUCUUUGACACCAAUAUUUUUCACCCUCCGGCUUAAAUUUUUUUGUUUAACGACGUCUUCCCAACAGUAACAUUUUAAUUACCUACUUUGAAUUGAAGAAUUUAAUACAAUUGCAAUAAUUUCCUUCAUCAGAGAGAACAGUAAUUUUCUUUUGGCUCAUUGCCAAACAUUUGGUGAAUAAGAGGAAUGAUAGAUUUUUUUGCCACAAAAAUUGUAGAAAGUUAAUUCAGAAAAGAACGAACAUGUUUUUUGUGGUGUUCUCGAUUCGAACAAAUUAAAUAUUAAAAUUAAUUUUAUCAAAACCAAUCUGCAGCAAAGGAAAGCAUUUAAAUAUAAAAUUUAAAUUUAAAUAACUUUAAAUUUGAAAUCUUCUUUUGGAAAAAAAUUGGCCAUACCUGCUGUGGUUGAUUAACCUUGCACGGUGGAAUGAAAGUGACAGUUCGCGCAAGCCUGCCAUUUGAACGGCUGUGUUUUUUUUUCGUGUCUGGCCGGACCGGCCGGAACCAAAUCGAACCGUAAUUCCGGCGUUUUAUCAACCUGGACCGAGGCAGUUGGAGUAGUUUAGCUCCAUCGCCCUUGUCGCGACUGCAGGAUGACCACGAAUUAAGAAUCGGGAGCCUGACCAAAGUUUGGCGCAGGAUGGCCAAGACGUGGAUUUUGCUCUAUACCGUACGCUGGUUAGAUGAGAUCCGGCUGGAGAUGGCUGCUCCAAGUUUUUUCCGGUCCCGGUCCCGGUCGCGGAAGCCGCGAUUGCAGCAGGUCAAAUUAAAAUACGUGUGUUAAGUGAAUUACGAGUGAAAAGAAUAAUAUUGUGAUAAUGUGAAUAAAUGAAGUUUUUGUUUCUGAAA
This is a long non-coding RNA of Culex pipiens pallens (northern house mosquito), 1026 nucleotides long. RefSeq lists it as uncharacterized. The transcript is spliced from 2 exons. The record is from RefSeq and is a predicted model, not a curated record. Lineage: Eukaryota; Metazoa; Arthropoda; Insecta; Diptera; Culicidae.